CAGACGCAGAAAUUUAUACAUUGCGCGAGAUACUUGGUAAAAGGGACCCCGCAUGUCCUUUAAACGCGGGCUGUCCCUGUGUUUAAAACACCCAUCGAAAGAAGAGGGCCCGGGCUAGAGACCGUUCCCACGCCGCCCGCGGUAAUACCGCGCGGCUUGGGGUGGGUGACCACUUUUUAUUGGGUUAAAGCUUUGUAGCUUGAUUUUUAAUUUCUUGGGAAAUUUUCACGGUUAAAUUUUGAGGCGCUAAGAGAUACUGGGAUUCUAGGGACCGGGAGAGGUAAGAGGUACUUUCAGGGGUAGGAAGUGAAAUUCUGUAAUCCUUGAGGGCCCACCGAUGGCGAAGGCAUCUUACCCAGAACGGAUUCGACAGUGAGGAACGAAAGCUGGGGGAGCGAACGGGAUUAGAUACCCCGGUAGUCCCGAGCCGUCCCCUCUGCGCGUUAGGUGUGAAAUGUACUACGAGUUACCGGGGUGCCGAGGGGGGGGGGGGGGGGCGUGCCGCCUGGGAAGUACGGUCGCAAGGCUGAAACUUAAAGGAAUUGGCGGGGGAGCACCACGAAAGGAAGGAGCCUGCGGUUUAAUUGGACUCAACGCCGGGCAGCUCACCGGAUAGGACAGCGGAAUGAUAGCCGGGCUGAAGACCUUGCUUGACCAGCUGAGAGGAGGUGCAUGGCCGUCGUCAGUUCGUACUGUGAAGCAUCCUGUUUAGUCAGGCACCGAGCGAGACCCUAAUCUUAUCACCGUGAGAACUAUGCUCGAAUCACCCGCCGUCGUUAC
Molecule: ribosomal RNA, 780 nt
Filed under: uncultured archaeon
Lineage: Archaea
Description: partial 16S ribosomal RNA
Rfam family: Archaeal small subunit ribosomal RNA
Source: RNAcentral